RNAcentral lists this ribosomal RNA (494 nucleotides) under uncultured bacterium. Its description in RNAcentral is "partial 16S ribosomal RNA". It matches the Rfam family "Bacterial small subunit ribosomal RNA", at positions 28 to 507 of the family's 1533-position model. The record is from RNAcentral.
GACGAACGCUGGCGGCGCGCUUAACACAUGCCAGUCGAACGGAAAGGCCUGCUUUCCCUUGUGGAUUGCGGGUACUCGAGUGGCGAACGGGUGAGUAACACGUGAGUGAUCUGCCCCCAACUUGGGUAUAAGCCUGGGAAACUGGGUCUAAUUCCCGAUAGGACUGCAGGGUGGUGCCUGUGGUGGAAAACGAUUUUCUAGUGGUUGGGGAUGAGCUCGCGGCCUAUCAGCUUGUGGGUGGGGUAAUGGCCUACCAAGGCGGCGACGGGUAGCCGGCCUGAGAGGGGGGACGGCCACAUUGGGACUGGGAUACGGCCCAGACUCCUACGGGAGGCAGCAGUGGGGAAUAUUGCACAAUGGGCGGAAGCCUGAUGCAGCGACGCCGCGUGGGGGAUGACGGCCUUCGGGUUGUAAACUCCUUUCGACCGCGAGGAAGCCACCUGGUUGGAAGGGUGGUGACGGUAGUGGUAGAAGAAGCACCGGCUAACUACGUG